GACGAACGCUGGCGGCGUGCUUAACACAUGCAAGUCGAACGGGAUCCGGGUUUCGGCCCGGUGAGAGUGGCGAACGGGUGAGUAACGCGUAGGCAAUCUGCCCUUCGGUGGGGGAUAGCCCCGGGAAACCGGGAUUAAUACCGCAUGACGCGUCGGGAUCGCAUGGUUCUGACGUUAAAGAUUUAUCGCCGAGGGAUGAGCCUGCGUUGCAUUAGCUAGUUGGUGGGGUAACGGCUCACCAAGGCGACGAUGCAUAGCUGGUCUGAGAGGAUGAUCAGCCACACUGGGACUGAGAUACGGCCCAGACUCCUACGGGAGGCUG
RNAcentral lists this ribosomal RNA (322 nucleotides) under uncultured Pseudomonadota bacterium. Its description in RNAcentral is "bacterial SSU rRNA". It matches the Rfam family "Bacterial small subunit ribosomal RNA", at positions 28 to 351 of the family's 1533-position model. Lineage: Bacteria; Pseudomonadati; Pseudomonadota. The record is from RNAcentral.